RNAcentral lists this microRNA (17 nucleotides) under Corchorus capsularis. RNAcentral's name for it is "sRNA CCACVL1_18011". The record is from RNAcentral. Lineage: Eukaryota; Viridiplantae; Streptophyta; Magnoliopsida; Malvales; Malvaceae.
AAAAACACACGCACACU